GGUCGGGUGGUGUAGUGGUUAUCACAUUUCGUUUACAUUCCUUACUGUUCCGAAAUGGUCGCGGGUUCAAACCCCGCCCUGAUCA
RNAcentral lists this transfer RNA (85 nucleotides) under Aureobasidium melanogenum CBS 110374. It matches the Rfam family "tRNA". Rfam says of the family: Transfer RNA (tRNA) molecules are approximately 80 nucleotides in length. The record is from Rfam by way of RNAcentral. Lineage: Eukaryota; Fungi; Ascomycota; Dothideomycetes; Dothideales; Saccotheciaceae.